CUCAAAUCAACAUCUAAAUUCAGCAUUAGUACACCCUCUCUUAUUAUAUUCUAGCUUCUCUAGGCCUAUCUCAACUAUUUUCAUCCCUACACUCAUCAUCAUGCAUUCACACAUGCAAAUCAGCCAACUCUAAGUUCAUUAAGCAUAGCAUCAAGUGAAUUCUUGCAAAUGGUCAAUUGGUCCAAAUCAUUUGGGUAAGGAGAUGCUUUUUAAUCAAGUGAGUCAAGGGGUUCAAGAUAUAUGAUAUUUAAGGUGGUAUACUCUCAGGACAAGUAGCCUUGACAUUGCACAUAAUAUAUCUAAGAAAGGGAUCAACUCAUGCAUACAAUGCUCAAUCCCCAUUGUUCUACCCUUUUCCCAAACAUAUAUGAUACACAUUCAUUUCCUCAUUCCAAACUCAGCUC
RNAcentral lists this long non-coding RNA (404 nucleotides) under Brassica napus (rape). RNAcentral's name for it is "long non-coding RNA (BNAP_LNC017143)". Lineage: Eukaryota; Viridiplantae; Streptophyta; Magnoliopsida; Brassicales; Brassicaceae. The record is from RNAcentral.